AGUAAAACUGGAGACCAUCAUGUGUGCUCAUUCCUUUGGCUGAGAAUGGUAUUAGGAGGCCAAGACCUUUGUGCUAUGGGGUGUCACUCCUAGGACCACUAGAUCUUCCCAGCCAAAAAGCUAGGCAAAGUGGUGAUCUUUAGUCGCAGUGAGAGCCACUGUCUGAAGAACUGAGGUGAACAACACUACAGGAAGAAGCCCACCACACUCCUCUGGCCUCUACCUAUUCGAGCACUCACUCAUCCAUCGGCAUAUCCAUACGCACAUAGACCACACACCUCCAUACUCAACAUUUAAAAAAAUCACGAAUUGAACCAUCAGACAUGGAAUAGUCCCCGUAUGCGUGUUUGCAUAAAUGUACCAUUUUACUGACCGGUUUUCUCCGUGGGGGAUGUUUGAGUAGUUUUCAUGUUUUGGAAGUUGGUGAAUAGCACAGCUUUGAAUAUGUUGAGCCAUGUGCACUGAUACACGUGUGUGAUUACACCUGUGAAUCACUGGAUUUCAGAGGAUAACAUGCAGUCAAUAUUAAAAAACACUAUUAAUUAUUUUCUAUGAUAAUGCAAUGUUGUGCCACUGAAAAAUGUUAUGGAACUAACAAAACAAAACAAACAAAAACAACCAAACAAAAAACCAACUCUACAAAAAUUCAGGGAUUUUUAUUUCAGUUGAAUCAGUGAAAAACUGCCCAUCAUCCUUGUCAUACUUUGUAUUUUCCUCAUCAUAAAUCCUGUUUAUCUUCCCAGUGAUUUACUGGCACUCAUCCUUCUGUGAAAUGCCUUUCUGUAUC
Molecule: long non-coding RNA, 787 nt
Organism: Meriones unguiculatus (Mongolian gerbil)
Lineage: Eukaryota; Metazoa; Chordata; Mammalia; Rodentia; Muridae
Exons: 3
Source: RefSeq, a predicted model, not a curated record